Non-coding RNA from Rattus norvegicus (Norway rat), 689 nucleotides. NCBI's taxonomy places the organism in Eukaryota, Metazoa, Chordata, Mammalia, Rodentia, Muridae. The record is from RefSeq and is a predicted model, not a curated record.
GAAAGCUUGAGCAAUGCCGCCUUUGACAAUCAUGAUUCUGCAGUUGCUGUCAGCUCCAACAGCCGGUGUCUGAGCGAAGCCAUGCCGUCCAGUCAUUUCCAUGCUGGAACCUCGCGUUAGGCACGUGGAGAUCACGCUGUACCUGCAGAGCAUAUGGAUUCUUCCCUCGGCUGUGAACCAACUGAGGCCGACUGCACUGCAGGGCGGCACGGUGACAGUGCACACAAUCAAUCUACCCUCCUUGAAGAAGUCACAGUGCCCGACCACAAGCUAACAGGCUACAAGGGAAGAGAAGCAGCUGAGACGUGGCAGGCUCUCUGGAGUGACUUCAGUCAAGCGAUUUCAUCAAACACAAGGCUUUAGAGCAGGGGAGCAAAUCAAGGGAGACCUGAGUGUUUUCUACCUCCCCAGCUUCCAUUUCUGCUCUUGGAGCUCAUCAGCAGUUUGGAGAAUGGGGAGGAAGAUAACUACAUAUACCUCAUUACCAGUUCCAGAAAAAGAAAUCACCUGUGAUACUAAGAAUUUAAAAAUUACUGCUCAAGGCUUUCCCACAACUGUCUCCAAGUACAGUUGCACCUAUAGGACGAAGGGAGAGAAAGAAUAAACGGUCAGCUGGUCACAUGGUGAUGCUGUCACGCCUUUGUAUUUACUUUAAAGUUGGACUGAAUAAAUUUGCAUAAUUCCUGGGA